This 788-nucleotide long non-coding RNA is filed under the name Rattus norvegicus (Norway rat). RNAcentral describes it as "long non-coding RNA NONRATT018970". Lineage: Eukaryota; Metazoa; Chordata; Mammalia; Rodentia; Muridae. The record is from RNAcentral.
GUAUCCCUCCAUGCCUCUUAGGGAAAACCUCCUUCUGGAGGUGGUCAGUUGGUCACUGGUAAGUCUGCUUCACACCCCAACUUCCAAUCCUGUUGUUACAGUAAGUAGCCGUCUGAGGCUGGCAGUACUGCCCGAGGAUCGACUGCAGAUGAAGUGGAGGGAAGCAGAGGGAAGUGGCCUUGGCUAUUUGGUGCAAGUGACACCUAUGGCAGGUAUGGAGAGCUCAUGUCUCCCUACUAGGUUUUCUCUCCUCUUCCUUCUGUUAGGGCUGUUAGAAAUGGGCCUGGGGUCUCAAGAGAAUGAGCACACAGUGCAGAGUUUGUUAUUCUGGAUUUUGGCUAGGCACAAGGUUUUACUUCUGCAGAAUGGAGUGUGGCUAAGCUUAAGUAAGUAACUGGGCACACCCAGCCAGAGAUCCUAGUGUGGUUUUGUUCCUAAUUAAAGAAGUCUUGUACUUCACUCUGAGUGAUCAGAGCUAGGUCUCACAUCCUUACAUAUUGGCUGACUUCAAACAGCAUAGUUGAUGAGCCAAGUGCAGGUUCUGAGGGCAGGUUGUAACCUGGUGCACAAACUUAGAUCUCAGAAAAAUGCUGAAGGUAUACACAGGGACUCCCCAUGCCCACCCUCGUAAGCCUUUAAAAAAGAAAGCAAAUUUCUUUAAAGACGGAAUCUCCUUUGUCUCAUUAACACUUUGAUAUAAAAGACAGUGCACUCCAUUUCCAUUUCUUUUAGGCCCAAGGUUUUCCACUUGAAUAAAGUUGUGGGAGUGAGUUCACACCGUCAGUAGA